GGAUGUGAAGGCGAUCUGGCUGUGACUUCUGUGCCCCCAUUGAUUGCCAGGGUUGAUUUGCUUGAUCUGGAUGGCUAGACAGAUAUCCCCUUCCUCCCUCUCCACUCCAUGUGUCCCUCCUCAAGCUGUGUGAAGCUGUGUGUGUCAAAGGGGCUGGCCACCCUCAAAUAUGACCUCUGCUAGAACCUCCAAACAAGCUCUCAAAGGGGCGGGGGCCAAGGGAAUGAGAAAGUGCCUGAGGUGUAUUAUGUACUCCCCAG
This 260-nucleotide small nuclear RNA is filed under the name Heterocephalus glaber (naked mole-rat). RNAcentral describes it as "7SK RNA". It matches the Rfam family "7SK RNA". Rfam says of the family: 7SK was discovered as an abundant small nuclear RNA in the mid-70s but a possible function has only recently been suggested. Two independent studies have found that 7SK RNA binds the CDK9/cyclin T complex (known as elongation factor P-TEFb). Lineage: Eukaryota; Metazoa; Chordata; Mammalia; Rodentia; Bathyergidae. The record is from Rfam by way of RNAcentral.